UAUGACUUUAUAACUUUUAGACCAUGAUGCCAAACUUGGCGUGUGAUACCUUUUCGGAAAGCCCAAAGAGAGUCCUCUGACGAAAGAAGCAGGAUAGUAGGUAAGAGUAC
RNAcentral lists this small RNA (110 nucleotides) under Arabidopsis thaliana (thale cress). RNAcentral's name for it is "ATSL265130". Lineage: Eukaryota; Viridiplantae; Streptophyta; Magnoliopsida; Brassicales; Brassicaceae. The record is from RNAcentral.